Molecule: ribosomal RNA, 429 nt
Filed under: Etropus microstomus
Lineage: Eukaryota; Metazoa; Chordata; Actinopteri; Pleuronectiformes; Cyclopsettidae
Description: partial 16S ribosomal RNA
Rfam family: Bacterial large subunit ribosomal RNA
Source: RNAcentral
AAUCACUUGUCUUUUAAAUGAAGACCUGUAUGAAAGGUAUGACGAGGGCUUAACUGUCUCCUUUUCUAAGUCAAUGAAAUUGAUCUCCCCGUGCAGAAGCGGGGAUGCGAACAUAAGACGAGAAGACCCUGUGGAGCUUGAGACGCCAGGACGGAUCCUGUUAAGAAUGCCUAGAAGCUAAAAACUAAAGGAUCCCCGCCCUAGUGUCUUCGGUUGGGGCGACCAUGGGGAAAACAAAUCCCCCACGUGGACUAAGAGCACUCUUACAAACCCGAGUAACAACUCUAAUGAACAGAAAAUYUGACCAAAAAUGAUCCGGCAAUGCCGAUCAACGAACCAAGUUACCCCAGGGAUAACAGCGCAAUCCCCUUUUAGAGCCCCUAUCGACAAGGGGGUUUACGACCUCGAUGUUGGAUCAGGACAUCCUAA